GAUCCUGGCUCAGGAUGAACGCUGGCGGCGUGCCUAACACAUGCAAGUCGAGCGAAGCGAUCGAGAUGAAGUUUUUGGAUGGAUUCCUGAUUGACUGAGCGGGCGGACGGGUGAAGGUAACGCGUGGGUAACCUGCCCCAUACAGGGGGAUAACAGUUAGAAAUGACUGUUAAUACCGCAUAAGCGCACAGUACCGCAUGGUACCGUGUGAAAAACUCCGGUGGUAUGAGAUGGGCCCGCG
Molecule: ribosomal RNA, 241 nt
Filed under: uncultured bacterium
Lineage: Bacteria
Description: partial 16S ribosomal RNA
Rfam family: Bacterial small subunit ribosomal RNA
Source: RNAcentral